UACGUAGGUGGCAAGCGUUGUCCGGAUUUACUGGGCGUAAAGAGCGCGCAGGCGGUCGUUCAAGUCGCGUGUGAAAGCCCCCGGCUCAACUGGGGAGGGUCACGCGAUACUGAUCGACUCGAAGGCAGGAGAGGGAAGUGGAAUUCCCGGUGUAGUGGUGAAAUGCGUAGAUAUCGGGAGGAACACCAGUGGCGAAGGCGGCUCUCUGGACCGGUGCUGACGCUCAGGCGCGAAAGCGUGGGGAGCGAUCCGG
This 253-nucleotide ribosomal RNA is filed under the name uncultured bacterium. Its description in RNAcentral is "partial 16S ribosomal RNA". It matches the Rfam family "Bacterial small subunit ribosomal RNA", at positions 524 to 776 of the family's 1533-position model. The record is from RNAcentral.